Molecule: ribosomal RNA, 296 nt
Filed under: uncultured bacterium
Lineage: Bacteria
Description: partial 16S ribosomal RNA
Rfam family: Bacterial small subunit ribosomal RNA
Source: RNAcentral
GUGCCAGCCGCCGCGGUAAGACGUAGGUGGCGAACGUUAUCCGGAAUUAUUGGGCGUAAAGGGUGCGUAGAUGGCAUGAUAAGUUAUUGGUGGUAAAUCGAGGCUCAACCUCGUGGAAACUAAUAAUACUGUUUUGCUUGAGUACAGGAGAGGUUAACGGAACUCCAUGUGGAGCGGUAAAAUGCGUAGAUAUAUGGAAGAACAUCAAUAAUGGCGAAGGCAGUUAACUAUUCUGUUACUGACGUUGAGGGCACGAAAGCGUGGGGAGCAAAACGGAUUAGAAACCCUGGUAGUCC